RNAcentral lists this long non-coding RNA (649 nucleotides) under Rhinopithecus bieti (black snub-nosed monkey). RNAcentral describes it as "lncRNA (ENSRBIG00000046367.1)". Lineage: Eukaryota; Metazoa; Chordata; Mammalia; Primates; Cercopithecidae. The record is from RNAcentral.
UAGAUUAUGAGGCUGUAGGGCAUGCAGGCUAGAAAUACCAUAGAGUGGAGGACUUAGUUCAGGGUGGUAUACUUUGAUUAAUUUUGUUUCAGGUAGAGCUGCUUUUCCCUUUCUCUCCUCAAUAACUAGCUCCAUUAAGGAGAUUCAGAGCCAUCCUCUUCUGUUUUCUCCUCCUCUCACCGGCUGCAGCUGCUACUCUAAGACAUUCAGGAAGAUCUUCUGCUCAGAUUAAAGGUCAAAGAGAAACAGUCUUCCAGAAAAUAUGCAUAAAAGAAAGGACCUUACAAGACAACUUGCAUGGAUACUCUGAAGCAACUUUGAGGUCUCCUUGAUGAGGAAAGUUGGCUCAACCUGCUGUAGAGUAGGCCCACAGCCAAGCCAUUGAGAGACAAGUCCAUGGGAGACAAAUUAGCUCAUGCAGCUGAGAUGUCCUGGAGAUUUUCCACAGCACCACUUGGCCAGUGCCUGGACAAGGUCUCAGUUUCUGAUCCUCUUGGGCAGAAGCAGGUCUUCUACUAUAUUAUCUGAAGCCGUGUUGCCGCCUGGACCCAAGGCCACUGUGCCCAGCCUUUGUGCUCCCUGGAUCUCCUCCAGGAGCACCCUCACCCACUGUGCAAAAGGCUGUGCAAAGUAGGUAAGAGUGCCCAGA